UACUCUUCACAUUUUCUCCCAAAUAUCUCUUUGUACAGCUACGUGUUAGGGUUCGAUCAUCUCUUUGUCAAUGUCGAUUAUCUCUAGAUUCACCUGUUAACAAAAGGAAGCGAAGAAAGCAACUCACAAGGGGGAAAAUUCUAAAGAGAUAAUACAAGAGAAGAGCGGCUGAAGUAAAAGAAAAAGGUAUUCAUUAUCUUUAACAUUUACUUGACAGUGACAACUUGUAUUUUGCUGCAGAAAUGGCUCGAAUAUGGGCAUAGGUUAUGAUUAAGCCGCUUGCAUUAAGUUAAGCCACGCCAAGGAGAUGGACCUGUGUGAUUUAUUCAGUAUUUCCAAUUGGAACAAUUAAUAAGUUGUCCUGUUAUCAAAGGAGAAACAUGGGUGGCUACAAAAUGAAGAAGAGCAAGAAUAAUUCAUGGGAAGCAGCACUAUUAUCUUCCUUCUUUGUUCUUUCCUUUCCCUCCUGUGGUAAUUUGGAACUGAUGGUUCCCUUGAAGGAUGUCUUUCAUUUUUGCCUUUUUUAUUAAUACAAGCAUCGGCUUCAGUAGUGAAUUCAUUAAAUAGGCAACUGGCAGCAAUCAACAGACAAAGUUUCUGAAAUUUUAGUUGUUGGUUUUGUUGUAUUUCUCUAAGAAAGGCAAAGAAUUCAAGACCAGUUUGAUAGAUCUAUAUUCAUUCUUAGUCCAUUCCCAAAUCCCAAUGGAUUGCCCACCAUAAAUGAAAUCCUUUUUUUCUAAACUUGCUCUACUUCUCUCUAAACUGUAAAUUUGAUAGUCUUUUUUUUUUCCUCAAAAAUAAUAGAUGAGGAGGAAUGUCAAAAGUCUCAUUGAUCACCAGGAACCUUUUCAAUUACUCCUAUUACACAUGGAGAGAACAUACACAUAUAUAAAAGAGCAUCCAGAGCUAAAAACUUUAAGAUUGACCGAUACAGAUAAUUUUCCUAAACCAAGUUGGAAGAAGAAGAAGAAAGAGUUGGAAGAAAGAUGAGAGGAGUUGGUAUUAAUAAGUUAUAUAGUGUUCCACAUCAGGUACAACAAGGCAUUUAAAGGGUCUACAUAUAUUUUGAGACUUUCCUCCCAUAGUGUCUCAUUCCAUUUAUAGCAUAUCUUUUCAAGCUUGAACUAUGUAAAUACAAAUCGCAAAAAGGGAAGCCUGGGGUACUAAGCUCCAGGUAUGCGCAGGUUCUGGAAAAGGGCCAGACCAAUAUUUAAUAGAUCUAUUGUACAGUCUUACUUUGUAUUUCUGAAAGAGGUUGUUUCCAAACCCCUGGCCUCCUGGUCACACGACGACAACUCUUACCAUUGCGCCUAGGCUCUCGUUCCUUCUAGUAUAAA
Long non-coding RNA from Nicotiana tabacum (common tobacco), 1337 nucleotides. RefSeq lists it as uncharacterized. The record is from RefSeq and is a predicted model, not a curated record. Lineage: Eukaryota; Viridiplantae; Streptophyta; Magnoliopsida; Solanales; Solanaceae.